AGUGAACGCUGGCGGUAGGCCUAACACAUGCAAGUCGAACGGCAGCACAGUAAGAGCUUGCCCUUACGGGUGGCGAGUGGCGGACGGGUGAGGAAUACAUCGGAAUCUACUUUUUCGUGGGGGAUAACGUAGGGAAACUUACGCUAAUACCGCAUACGACCUACGGGUGAAAGCAGGGGAUAUUCGGACUUUGCGCGAUUGAAUGAGCCGAUGUCGGAUUAGCUAGUUGGCGGGGUAAAGGCCCACCAAGGCGACGAUCCGUAGCUGGUCUGAGAGGAUGAUCAGCCACACUGGAACUGAGACACGGUCCAGACUCCUACGGGAGGCAGCAGUGGGGAAUAUUGGACAAUGGGCGCAAGCCUGAUCCAGCCAUACCGCGUGGGUGAAGAAGGCCUUCGGGUUGUAAAGCCCUUUUGUUGGGAAAGAAAAGCAGCAGGUUAAUACCCCGCUGUUCUGACGGUACCCAAAGAAUAAGCACCGGCUAACUUCGUG
Molecule: ribosomal RNA, 492 nt
Filed under: uncultured bacterium
Lineage: Bacteria
Description: partial 16S ribosomal RNA
Rfam family: Bacterial small subunit ribosomal RNA
Source: RNAcentral